UUAUCGGAGAGUUUGAUCCUGGCUCAGGACGAACGCUGGCGGCGUGCCUAAUACAUGCAAGUCGAGCGGACAGAUGGGAGCUUG
RNAcentral lists this ribosomal RNA (84 nucleotides) under Bacillus amyloliquefaciens. Its description in RNAcentral is "partial 16S ribosomal RNA". It matches the Rfam family "Bacterial small subunit ribosomal RNA", at positions 1 to 82 of the family's 1533-position model. Lineage: Bacteria; Bacillati; Bacillota; Bacilli; Caryophanales; Bacillaceae. The record is from RNAcentral. RNAcentral also lists the same sequence under 7 other names.